UAGGGAAUCUUCGGCAAUGGGGGGAACCCUGACCGAGCAACGCCGCGUGAGUGAAGAAGGUUUUCGGAUCGUAAAGCUCUGUUGUUAAGGAAGAACGAGUGUGAGAAUGGAAAGUUCAUACUGUGACGGUACUUAACCGGAAAGGGACGGCUAACUACGUGCCAGCAGCCGCGGUAAUACGUAGGUCCCGAGCGUUGUCCGGAUUUAUUGGGCGUAAAGCGAGCGCAGGCGGUUAGAUAAGUCUGAAGUUAAAGGCAGUGGCUCAACCAUUGUAGGCUUUGGAAACUGUUUAACUUGAGUGCAGAAGGGGAGAGUGGAAUUCCAUGUGUAGCGGUGAAAUGCGUAGAUAUAUGGAGGAACACCGGUGGCGAAAGCGGCUCUCUGGUCUGUAACUGACGCUGAGGCUCGAAAGCGUGGGGAGCGAACAGG
This 429-nucleotide ribosomal RNA is filed under the name Bacteroidota bacterium. RNAcentral's name for it is "Bacteroidetes bacterium partial 16S ribosomal RNA". It matches the Rfam family "Bacterial small subunit ribosomal RNA", at positions 355 to 776 of the family's 1533-position model. The record is from RNAcentral. Lineage: Bacteria; Pseudomonadati; Bacteroidota.